GACAGAGGUGCCGAGCGUUAGGCGGAAUCACUGGGCUUAAAGCGUGUGUAGGCGGGUCGUUAAGUACCUUGUGAAAUCCCACGGCUUAACCGUGGAACUGCUCGGUAUACUGGCGAUCUUGAGCCACUUAGGGGUCAGCGGAACAAAUAGUGGAGCGGUGAAAUGCGUAGAUAUCAUUUGGAACGCCAAUGGUGAAAACAGCUGACUGGGAGUGUGCUGACGCUGAGACACGAAAGCCAGGGGAGCGAACGGG
RNAcentral lists this ribosomal RNA (253 nucleotides) under uncultured bacterium. RNAcentral's name for it is "partial 16S ribosomal RNA". It matches the Rfam family "Bacterial small subunit ribosomal RNA", at positions 524 to 776 of the family's 1533-position model. The record is from RNAcentral.